UAAGGGAGGUUCUACCGCUUAUUUUAGGCAUAGCAACCCUGCCAGAGUGAUUGCGGAGCUCCUGGCAAUGCACACCUGGAUCCGGAGCCUAAGAACUGGGGCUGUAUAAUUAGAAUAAGGCAGCCAGGCCCAUAACUUAGGGGUUACCAUUUGCCGCGAGUGCCGUGGAGAAUUUACCAUUCAGAAUCAAAAGUUAAGUGAGAACCAGUAUCUUUUUCUGCCCCUCCACCUGAUGACCCACAUUAACAGGGAAGUAGAUGAAGGGAUUCAGAUUUGGUAUGGCAUCGUCAUUCUACUGACAAGCCAUGGCUCGUUAACAAAAUUUACCAAGGACCACAGUUCUUUGCUGCGAUAUUUGCUGGGUUUUGCUGACCACAAUACCAUUUGAACUGGAAAUGUUGUUGCGAGAAGAAUCCGUCUUGGGAUACAAGCCUAAUAGCAAGAUCAGAGGGCAUGGUUCCCACGAAGGCUGUCCAAGGGAGAUUCAGCAACCUACUUGAUCAGCAUGGUUUCAAGAUCAUUAGGCUUGGGUGUCGCGGGG
Long non-coding RNA from Lineus longissimus, 541 nucleotides. RefSeq lists it as uncharacterized. NCBI's taxonomy places the organism in Eukaryota, Metazoa, Nemertea, Pilidiophora, Heteronemertea, Lineidae. The transcript has 3 exons. The record is from RefSeq and is a predicted model, not a curated record.